GAGACACGCUGGCGGCGUGCCUAACACAUGCAAGUCGAACGGACUGCGAGGAGCUUGCUCCUCAAAGUUAGUGGCGGACGGGUGAGUAACGCGUGAGUAACCUGCCUUACAGAGGGGGAUAACGUUUGGAAACGAACGCUAAAUACCGCAUAAUGUAUCUGAUAUCGCAUGGUAUUGAUACCAAAGAUUUUAUCGCUGUAAGAUGGACUCGCGUCUGAUUAGAUAGUUGGCGGGUAACGGCCCACCAAGUCGACGAUCAGUAGCCGGACUGAGAGGUUGAACGGCCACAUUGGGACUGAGACACGGCCCAGACUCCUACGGGAGGCAGCAGUGAGGGAUAUUGCACAAUGGGCGCAAGCCUGAUGCAGCAACGCCGCGUGAGGGAUGACGGUUUUCGGAUUGUAAACCUCUGUCUUUGGUGAAGAUAAUGACAUUAGCCAAGGAGGAAGCCACGGCUAACUACGUG
Molecule: ribosomal RNA, 466 nt
Filed under: uncultured bacterium
Lineage: Bacteria
Description: bacterial SSU rRNA
Rfam family: Bacterial small subunit ribosomal RNA
Source: RNAcentral